UCCAAAAAAGAAAUCAAACAAAAAAUGACAUAAAAGAGAAGAUCGAAUGGAAUUGAUACUUCUAAAAAAUAUGAAUGAAAAGUUGUUAACAAAUUGCCAAACGUUAUUUCUAUUGAUACUGGUGGUUAUAGAUUUUUCCAAUGGAUCGGUCUCAUGGAGCUUGGAAACUAAACCGGCAAUAUUUGGAAAAGAUAUAAAAUUACAUUGUAAUCUUGAUGAUGAUACACCAUUCAACAACUCCAGACAUUGGAGUAAAGGCGAAAACGUUAGUGUAUUGGUGGUAAAUGGUAAAACAAUAAACAAUACAAAAUAUUCAGAGGAACGAGACAAGUCAAAACGUACUUCCAUUUUAACUAUAACGUCGUUAGAUACUGGUGACGUGAACGUGCCAUACACAUUCCAACAUGGUUUCAAAACGUACAAGAAAGUUUUGAAUAUGACUGUAGAGAAUU
This is a long non-coding RNA of Mytilus californianus (California mussel), 452 nucleotides long. RefSeq lists it as uncharacterized. The transcript is spliced from 3 exons. NCBI's taxonomy places the organism in Eukaryota, Metazoa, Mollusca, Bivalvia, Mytilida, Mytilidae. The record is from RefSeq and is a predicted model, not a curated record.